AGGCUUAACACAUGCAAGUCGAGGGGCAGCAUGGUCUUAGCUUGCUAAGGCUGAUGGCGACCGGCGCACGGGUGAGUAACACGUAUCCAACCUGCCGUCUACUCUUGGCCAGCCUUCUGAAAGGAAGAUUAAUCCAGGAUGGCAUCAUGAGUUCACAUGUCCGCAUGAUUAAAGGUAUUUUCCGGUAGACGAUGGGGAUGCGUUCCAUUAGAUAGUAGGCGGGGUAACGGCCCACCUAGUCAACGAUGGAUAGGGGUUCUGAGAGGAAGGUCCCCCACAUUGGAACUGAGACACGGUCCAAACUCCUACGGGAGGCAGCAGUGAGGAAUAUUGGUCAAUGGGCGAUGGCCUGAACCAGCCAAGUAGCGUGAAGGAUGACUGCCCUAUGGGUUGUAAACUUCUUUUAUAAAGGAAUAAAGUCGGGUAUGCAUACCCGUUUGCAUGUACUUUAUGAAUAAGGAUCGGCUAACUCCGUGCCAGCAGCCGCGGUAAUACGGAGGAUCCGAGCGUUAUCCGGAUUUAUUGGGUUUAAAGGGAGCGUAGAUGGAUGUUUAAGUCAGUUGUGAAAGUUUGCGGCUCAACCGUAAAAUUGCAGUUGAUACUGGAUGUCUUGAGUGCAGUUGAGGCAGGCGGAAUUCGUGGUGUAGCGGUGAAAUGCUUAGAUAUCACGAAGAACUCCGAUUGCGAAGGCAGCCUGCUAAGCUGCAACUGACAUUGAGGCUCGAAAGUGUGGGUAUCAAA
Molecule: ribosomal RNA, 741 nt
Filed under: uncultured Bacteroidales bacterium
Lineage: Bacteria; Pseudomonadati; Bacteroidota; Bacteroidia; Bacteroidales
Description: bacterial SSU rRNA
Rfam family: Bacterial small subunit ribosomal RNA
Source: RNAcentral